Molecule: long non-coding RNA, 199 nt
Filed under: Lathyrus oleraceus (garden pea)
Lineage: Eukaryota; Viridiplantae; Streptophyta; Magnoliopsida; Fabales; Fabaceae
Description: Pisum sativum (pea) long non-coding RNA (PSAT_LNC034738)
Source: RNAcentral
AAAUUUCAAAGAAAUUGGUGGAUUGAUUUUAACAAAAGCUUAAAAAUCUUUUGUUAUCAAAUGGAGAAUACUCACCCAAACAUCCACCAAUAAUGAGGGCUUUACAACAUUUAAGAGGGAAGGCUCCAACUUGAAUUCAAUCAACAAGUAUGGCACCAACCCCUAAUAAAUGGAACUACUUAUAAUCAAAAUAUCAUGG